RNAcentral lists this ribosomal RNA (439 nucleotides) under uncultured bacterium. Its description in RNAcentral is "bacterial SSU rRNA". It matches the Rfam family "Bacterial small subunit ribosomal RNA", at positions 339 to 795 of the family's 1533-position model. The record is from RNAcentral.
CUACGGGAGGCAGCAGUGGGGAAUGUUGGACAAUGGGGGAAACCCUGAUCCAGCGACGCCGCGUGAAUGAUGAAGGCCUUAGGGUUGUAAAGUUCUUUCGUCCACGAGGAUGAUGACAGUAGUGGAAGAAGAAGCUCCGGCUAACUUCGUGCCAGCAGCCGCGGUAAUACGAAGGGGGCUAGCGUUGCUCGGAAUUACUGGGCGUAAAGCGCAUGUAGGCGGCGAUUCAAGUUAGAUGUGAAAGGCCCGGGCUCAACCCGGGAACUGCAUUUGAUACUGAAUUGCUAGAGUCCAAGAGAGGGUAGUGGAAUUCCCAGUGUAGAGGUGAAAUUCGUAGAUAUUGGGAAGAACACCAGUGGCGAAGGCGGCUACCUGGCUUGGUACUGACGCUGAGAUGCGAAAGCGUGGGGAGCGAACAGGAUUAGAUACCCCGGUAGUC